Molecule: ribosomal RNA, 561 nt
Filed under: uncultured eukaryote
Lineage: Eukaryota
Description: bacterial SSU rRNA
Rfam family: Eukaryotic small subunit ribosomal RNA
Source: RNAcentral
CUGGUUGAUCCUGCCAGUAGUCAUAUGCUUGUCUCAAAGAUUAAGCCAUGCAUGUCUAAGUAUAAACAUCUUUAUACUGUGAAACUGCGUACAGCUCAUUAUAUCAGUAAUUAUUUAUUUGAUGGUUUUUCUAUAUGGAUACCCGUAGUAAUUCUAGAGCUAAUACAUGCGUAAAGUCCCGACUCUCACGGGGAGGGAUGUAUUUAUUAGUUAAAAAAUCAAUGCGUCCUCUGGACGGUUUUGUGAUGAAUCAUAGUAACUGAUCGAAUCGCAGGUUUCACACCAGCGAUAGUUCAUUCAAAUUUCUGCCCUAUCAGCUUUCGAUGGUAGUGUAGUGGACUACCAUGGCGUUAACGGGUAACGGAGAAUUAGGGUUCGAUUCCGGAGAGGGAGCCUGAGAAACGGCUACCACAUCUAAGGAAGGCAGCAGGCGCUCAAAUUACCCAAUCCCGACACGGGGAGGUAGUGACAAGAAAUAACAAUACAGGGCAUCCAUGUCUUGUAAUUGGAAUGAGUAGAAUUUAAAUCCCUUUACGAGUAUCGAUUGGAGGGCAAGUCUGG